CGGAUGAUUACUUGUCAUCAUUGUGGUCUGUAUGGAGACCUGAGAUGUUCUCAAUGUAAACAGACAUAUUAUUGCUCUACAGACUGCCAGAAGAAAGAUUGGUCUGUACAUGGUAUUGUAUGCAAGCCAAUUAAACAAAAUUUAAAGAAAAGUGAAGAUAAUGCCAAGUUGCCUGGUGAAAUUAAGAAUAACAUUGAUUUUAAGGUACAGAAUGUUAACGUUUAUUUUAAUUGGCUCUGGUUUUUGGAGAAGCCCACUGCAGGUUGGAUAUAGUAAAGAUGUAUUUAAAUUUAAUGUGUUACUGUAACAUUUUUUAAACACUAAUGCUCAACUCACUAUAGUGAAGAGAAUAGGAAGUUAAGAAAUUUUGAUUGCUU
This is a long non-coding RNA of Gopherus flavomarginatus (Mexican gopher tortoise), 377 nucleotides long. RefSeq lists it as uncharacterized. The record is from RefSeq and is a predicted model, not a curated record. NCBI's taxonomy places the organism in Eukaryota, Metazoa, Chordata, Testudines, Testudinidae. The transcript has 3 exons.